AUUGAACGCUGGCGGCAGGCCUAACACAUGCAAGUCGAACGGUAACAGGAAGAAGCUUGCUUCUUUGCUGACGAGUGGCGGACGGGUGAGUAAUGUCUGGGAAACUGCCUGAUGGAGGGGGAUAACUACUGGAAACGGUAGCUAAUACCGCAUAACGUCGCAAGACCAAAGAGGGGGACCUUCGGGCCUCUUGCCAUCGGAUGUGCCCAGAUGGGAUUAGCUAGUAGGUGGGGUAACGGCUCACCUAGGCGACGAUCCCUAGCUGGUCUGAGAGGAUGACCAGCCACACUGGAACUGAGACACGGUCAAGACUCCUACGGGAGGCAGCAGUGGGGAAUAUUGCACAAUGGGCGCAAGCCUGAUGCAGCCAGGCCGCGUGUAUGAAGAAGGCCUUCGGGUUGUAAAGUACUUUCAGCGGGGAGGAAGGGAGUAAAGUUAAUACCUUUGCUCAUUGACGUUACCCGCAGAAGAAGCACCGGCUAACUCCGUG
Molecule: ribosomal RNA, 490 nt
Filed under: uncultured bacterium
Lineage: Bacteria
Description: partial 16S ribosomal RNA
Rfam family: Bacterial small subunit ribosomal RNA
Source: RNAcentral